Long non-coding RNA from Ricinus communis (castor bean), 967 nucleotides. RefSeq lists it as uncharacterized. The record is from RefSeq and is a predicted model, not a curated record. The transcript is spliced from 2 exons. NCBI's taxonomy places the organism in Eukaryota, Viridiplantae, Streptophyta, Magnoliopsida, Malpighiales, Euphorbiaceae.
ACGAACCAUAUUAUAUUACAUAUAUCCUAAAAGUUAAAUAGUAGGUUGUUCUAUAUAUGUAAUAUAGAUAAUAAUUAUAUCUUGAUGUAUCUAAAAGUAUAUUUAGAAGUAUUUUACAUAAAGGGCAUUUAAGUACUUCGAGAAAUAUAGUAAAACUUAAAGUUUGAAGACAUUUCUUUAUUCUGGAAGAAGAAGCUCAUUUGAAACUAUUCAUCUGCAAACUUCUUUCCCACAUCCAUUGCAACCUUCUCUUUAUACAAAAAUCCUCUGCCAACUCUUCUAAAGCUGUAGUAAAGGAGCGGCGAUAGUAAAGUGUCAUUAGCGCAUUCUAGAUUUUUUCUUACUCUAUCUCAAGCGACAGUGAAGUCUCCUCCGUGAGCGACCAACUGAAGCAAAAGGUUUCCAUUUCUAGCAAUAUAUUUAGGUGGUACUGAAGAACCAUUAACUAGGUGGUUAUAGGGCUGGAGCUUUCACCCAAUUAGGUUAGUAUCUUCAUGGAAGUGCUUAUUAUCUCUUUGUGAUGUUGUUUCUGUGUGUUUUCUCGUUUGUGAAAAUUUAUUAUUAUUUAUUCUUUAAAAUAUGAAAAAUAACAUGGAUUAUUUUAUCAGGGCAUUGGUAGUCAUAAUUUGUUGUCUAAAUAUGAAUACUUGUAAUUUGUUAAUUUAUUUAAGUUAAAGACGUUCAAGUAGGAAGACGAUAAGAUAUGGGUAAAUAAAACAAAUGUAUCACACAUGGACUCUCAUAGUACCAAUAUUUUAGUUGAAAAGGCAAAAAGUUGUCCGUCUACAACAAAAGUUGGAGAAAUAAGCAGAUAUUUACUUGUUUAGUAGCAAUAUUUGUAUACUAUUUAUUAUAGUAAGAUAUUAAAUCAACUGUUAUGAGAUAUUUUUAUUUUAUUUUCAGUAUAGAGUCCAACAUUGAGAUAUUAUUAUAUGAGUUGGUGAAGGAGGAUUUGUUCUUCUAGUUA